AGCGAAUCCCAAAAAUAACGUCUCAGUUCGGAUUGUAGUCUGCAACUCGACUACAUGAAGCUGGAAUCGCUAGUAAUCGCGAAUCAGAAUGUCGCGGUGAAUACGUUCCCGGGUCUUGUACACACCGCCCGUCACACCAUGGGAGUUGGUAACGCCCGAAGCCAGUGACCUAACCGAAAGGGAGGAGCUGUCGAAGGCGGGACCGAUAACUGGGGUGAAGUCGUAACAAGGUAGC
This 235-nucleotide ribosomal RNA is filed under the name uncultured bacterium. Its description in RNAcentral is "partial 16S ribosomal RNA". It matches the Rfam family "Bacterial small subunit ribosomal RNA", at positions 1266 to 1500 of the family's 1533-position model. The record is from RNAcentral.